Phalacrocorax carbo (great cormorant) is the source of this 1986-nucleotide non-coding RNA. Lineage: Eukaryota; Metazoa; Chordata; Aves; Suliformes; Phalacrocoracidae. The record is from RefSeq and is a predicted model, not a curated record.
UCGCCGGCGGCAGCCGCUGGGGCUGGGGGCGGCGUGUGGGCCGGGGGGGGGGCGGCGGCUCAGGGGCACCCGCCCGGCGCUGCCCUCCCGCCGCCAGGGGGCGCCGCGGCCUCUCCACCCCGCCCCGCUAUUGGCUGUUGGCCGCAGGCGCCGGCACCGCUGAUUGGCCGGCGCGCGUGGGUCCGCCCCGCCCUCCGGGUGCCCGAGAGUUGAACACGUUCCGCUCGCCGCCGCCAGGGGGCGCUGUGGCCGCGGGAGGGCGGGGCGGAGCGGAGCGGGAGCCGGCGGCGGGAGCAGGUUUUACCGUCGCCGGUAAGGCAGCCCCGGGACCGGAGGUGUGAGGGACUGGUGGGCUCCCGGGGGCUCCCCGGAGAGGGGCAGCAGAGGGGCUCGUUCCUGCCCCACUGGCGGUGAGUAACGGCGCCCCGGGAGCGGCCCCGAGAGCUGGGGGCACCUGGCUUGGCUCCGGCCCUCCCGGCUCCCGGCCUCAGCUGUCGGCACUGGCUGUGAAGAGGGGUUUGUUUCUUCCCCCAAGAGCUGCAGCGGGUGCCCAGCAGGGCUGGGGCUGGGGGGCAUCGUGCCCCUGGGCUCUGGGGGCAGCAGGGCUGGGACCGGAGCCGCAGCAGCAGUUCUUCAGCUCACCCAGACAAGAACAGCCUUUCUGCAGGAGUUUCCACUGAGAUAACGGGUGUAAUUCAAUACACUUCUGUUUGCUUUUGGUUAAUGCAGUUUAUUAGCUGAUGCGUUUCUUUCCCCCCCCACCCCUCCAGGAAACAGAGUGGUUUUUUGUCCUCCAUCCCUCUGCGGGCCCUUCCCGCCCGUGUGGAGCAGAGCUCUCGGGCACGACGGCCGCUCGCUCGCUGGGCUGCCGGCGUCGGGGCAGCCGCUGGCGCUGGGGCCGCUCCCGGCACUGUUCCUGUCCUACACCGCGAUGUGAUGAGGUGGUGGAGCUUUACCGGAGAUGUGGGCAGGGUUUGUGGUGAAGUGAAACAUAGUGAAGGAUGGCCCGGCCCUGGACGCAAGGCCUUUGCUUCGUGGAAGCCGAGAGCUGUCCCUGAAGGAUAAAGGACACCCCCAGGCACCCAAGGCUCGCUCCUCGCUCAGCUUGGGCUGGCUGGGAAUUCAGGACAGGUGCCGUAUCCUGCUCCGCUCCUCUGCUUCAGGGCCAGCACACGGGGCAGCCACAGCUGAGGACAUGCUGUGGUGGGAGCAGAGGCCGCUUCAGGGAUCCACGCCGGACCCUGCAGCCCUGUCAAUGAGAUGCUGAAGCCAGUCUGGCGGGGCCUGGGGCAUAAUGGCUGUACUGGUGCUGCUGGUGCCUCGGGAGGUGUUGGCGGCACAGGCGAUGUGCGCGUGGCUGUGCCCACGCCUGGGGAAGGCUCAUCGCGGCGCCUGGACGAGGAGCGCAGCCCCGAGGCGGCGAGCGCCGGGGAACACCGGUCACAGAGGACGUGCCGGGUGAGGUCCAGCUCAUGGAUGGCUCGGGCUCAUCUCAGCUCCUGUCCAUUGUGGCUCCAGCUCAGCUGCAGCUUCAGGUCCAGCUCCUGGCUGCUCCUGGUCAGUUUUGGCUCUGGUUUCUGGUGCAUCUUAUGGAUGGCUCCGGCUCAGUUCAGCUCCUGUUCAUUGUAGCGCCAGCUCAGCUGCAGCUUCAGGUCCAGCUCACCAAAGGCUCCAGCUUGUGUUUGCUUCAUUGGAAGGAACAACGCUAACAAAAGAAACCCCAGCAAGCUUCAGACGCCGGUUGUUUUUGGCUCUCGUUUGGGCUCAUCGCCUCUGCCUCCAGCUGCUCUCCAGUGUGGCUCCAGCCACUUCCAGCUUGUGCUUGCUCAAGUGCUCCUGGCUUUUUGCCAAGGUUGUCAAUCAAUCACUGUCACAAGUUCUAUAUGAAUAUGAACUGUCAUAAUUGUACAUGGUCUAAAUAUGGCCCAAUGCCCCUCCCAGUAGCUGUACACACCUUGAAUAAAGAGUUGAACAGUCAUGAAAAAA